RNAcentral lists this ribosomal RNA (253 nucleotides) under uncultured bacterium. RNAcentral describes it as "partial 16S ribosomal RNA". It matches the Rfam family "Bacterial small subunit ribosomal RNA", at positions 524 to 776 of the family's 1533-position model. The record is from RNAcentral.
UACGGGGGGGGCAAGCGUUGUUCGGAAUUACUGGGCGUAAAGGGCUCGUAGGCGGCCAACUAAGUCGGACGUGAAAUCCCUCGGCUUAACCGGGGAACUGCGUCCGAUACUGGAUGGCUUGAGUUUGGGAGAGGGAUGCGGAAUUCCAGGUGUAGCGGUGAAAUGCGUAGAUAUCGUAAGGAAGACCAGUGGCGAAGGCGGGUCUCUGGACAGUUCCUGACGCUGAGGCACGAAGGUCAGGGGAGCAAACGGG